CUCACUACCGAUUGGAAAGGAUCAGGGCCGUAUGACAGAUGACCCUUCCAGCCAAUCAGCACAGAGGGUCAGGGCAACGGCCAUCUUGCCAUGCCAGCAACCCAUCCCUGCUCUUCUUCUCUCAGCAGGCUGCAUAGAUAGGCUGCAGUGGCCAUGAGGACUGCUAGCUUCCCAGAGUGGGCCAGUGUUUUAUUUUCAGUAAGUUGUUUUAUUUUCAGGGAGCCUGCCAAAAGCACGGUGCCUGUACUUUUUCACAGAAUCCACCCAAAAUCACAGUUUCUGUGAAAAUUGUGAAAUUAUAAUUUUGGUUGGUUCCUACCCAUAUCGAAAUGGGCUUUGUUAAUAUCAUCCUAACUACAUAAUAGCCCCAUACCUGCAAACCUAUCAAACCUCUUGGCAACUAGAAUUGUUUGUUCAGGGCCAGGAGGAAGAAAGUAUGAAAAAAUGUCCCGUCAACUCAAGCUGCUUGUCAACCUAUUCUGUCCAUGAUAGAGACUUGGAGCUGGAGCUUCAUGAGCUUCUACUGAAGGUAUUAUACCUGUCCCAUUUGAAGUAAAAUGUAAAAAAACCCAGAAAGGAAAUGAUAAAGCCCUCUUAUCUCCUCAUGCAAAGACAAACAAAAAAUGCGGAGUAGCCACACUAUGAAUCACCUGAAUGUACAAAAGCUUAUUGAAUUCAGCCUCUUACAUUAUGUGCCUAAUACCACAGGUGUGUAAAGUAUACAUUUCUGUUUCUAUAGCUACAGAAAAGCAUGAAUCACUUCAGUGUAAAUGUCUGAGAAUGCUUAAUUAGUACCUCAGGGUGGUAAAAUGAGAUUAAAGAAAGUUUAAUAGCUACCUGCUGCAGAAAGAAACAGCAUUUUGAGCAUGUGCUUGCAUCAUAGUGGACCUUCUCCAAGAGCCUUGUUGGCAUUCUGGGCUGGGACAGACCGGACUGGAGCCGAGAAUGACUGAGCUACUUUCCCAACUCCUGAAGUUAACGUCUUUGGAUAACAAAUAAGGAAUGCAGGCAGGGCAGUGUGGGAAAGCUUGUAGUAUCACCCUCUCUCUGUCCUGUGUAAAGAAAGAAGUUAAUUAGUGAUUAGAGCCUCUGACUUUGACAGGUUUAUUUAAUAAGUAUAACAUUGUACAUAAUAAUGCACCCAUCUCCCUCCCUUUCUAAUAAAAAAAAUCCUGUGUUGCACCCAAUAGCGUGUGUAUGUGUGUGUAUAUGUAUAUAUACAUAUACGUAUAUAUGCUAUCAACCAUAUAGCCUUGUUUAAUUUAUUGAUAUAUAUAUAGAAAGAAUAAAGUAUAGAUUAUUCUGUUGAUAUAAAAAGUUGCCCUCUAGUCCAAAUCUGCGGCUUGGCAAUAUAAAAAGUAUCACAGUGGCCUUUUACUUUUAGGUGUCAAAUCAAACCCCUAAAGGUUUAACAUUAUUUGGAGUGUCUUUGUGGUCAUGCCUUCUGGUGCUAGUUCUCUUUUGCCCACAGAAGUAUUGUCAAGUUCUUAUUUGGUACAGCCUCAGAGAAAGCUGGUAGCACAUGCCAUCUUGCCCACAGUGUAGAUUGGCUGUCACUAAUACCUUCUUUGUCAUUUCUAUAAUGUGUGAUUCCCUUGGGAACAGAGCAGCUAUUGUCCUGUGAACACAGCAAUAAGAAAAAGCAUUUCACACUCAGACAGAAUCAAUUAUUACAGAUUUAUUAUUGUUGAAUUAAAUUAUUAAAGAUUUAAAUGAUUAAGUAAACACUUAUAAAAAUGUCAGUUACACAAAUGCCAUGAAAUAUUCAUUCAUGUUAACUUUGCACUUAAGUUACCAGAUAGUUGUGUGUUUACUUUACUUACUACAUAGCAGAAGUGUCAUGAUCUAAAAUAUCAAAGCAGUAUUUCUCCUCCAGGAGUUUGGGUAUCUUUCUACUUGACAAAAAUGAAUAUUUGUAGCUACUGUUGGAGAGCUUUGAUACUGUUUCAUUGAACAUUAUGUCUCCCUUAAAUACAGUUAAUUUUCCUUAACUUUGAUUAAAAUUACACAGAUAUUUUUCUUCCUGCAGGUGACAUCAGAAUAAAUAACUUGUUUAUUCAGGAACUCCACCCUUUAAGUUAGUGAAUCAGCACUUUUGUGGCACAAAGUACAAUGAUGAGAUGGAAUCAGACUGUUGCACCCUAGAUAGAUCAAGCAAAGUGGCGUCCAGAUAGGUCAGAGUAGAUUUAUACUACAAUCCUUAAUUAUUUUGUUAUAGGAUUAGCAAAUGGAUCAGGAUGAUGAUAUCAUAACAUAGAACUUCCUGGCAUUGUAGCAAACUGUUAGCUUUACAGACUGAAGUUCCUAUUUGUAUCAGUGAUAUUACAUCAGGAAAGGUGUGUAUAAUGUGUUAGUCUCAUCUUCACCUGUAUUCUGACUUAGUGAUAUGUUAAUUAUUGGUAAAUUAAUACAUUAAAUAGUCCUUUCUUAAAUCUA
This is a long non-coding RNA of Gavialis gangeticus (Gharial), 2436 nucleotides long. RefSeq lists it as uncharacterized. Lineage: Eukaryota; Metazoa; Chordata; Crocodylia; Gavialidae. The transcript has 2 exons. The record is from RefSeq and is a predicted model, not a curated record.